GCGGAAGGCCCUUCGGGGUACUCGAGCGGCGAACGGGUGAGUAACACGUGAGCAACCUGCCCCAGGCUUUGGGAUAACCCCGGGAAACCGGGGCUAAUACCGAAUAUGACCUUGCACCGCAUGGUGUUUGGUGGAAAGUUUUUCGGCUUGGGAUGGGCUCGCGGCCUAUCAGCUUGUUGGUGGGGUGAUGGCCUACCAAGGCGACGACGGGUAGCCGGCCUGAGAGGGCGACCGGCCACACUGGGACUGAGACACGGCCCAGACUCCUACGGGAGGCAGCAGUGGGGAAUAUUGCACAAUGGGCGGAAGCCUGAUGCAGCGACGCCGCGUGAGGGAUGACGGCCUUCGGGUUGUAAACCUCUUUCAGCAGGGACGAAGCGUAAGUGACGGUACCUGCAGAAGAAGCGCCGGCCAACUACGUGCCAGCAGCCGCGGUAAGACGUAGGGCGCGAGCGUUGUCCGGAUUUAUUGGGCGUAAAGAGCUCGUAGGCGGCUUGUCGCGUCGACCGUGAAAACCUGGGGCUCAACCCCAGGCCUGCGGUCGAUACGGGCAGGCUAGAGUUCGGUAGGGGAGACUGGAAUUCCUGGUGUAGCGGUGAAAUGCGCAGAUAUCAGGAGGAACACCGGUGGCGAAGGCGGGUCUCUGGGCCGAUACUGACGCUGAGGAGCG
This 670-nucleotide ribosomal RNA is filed under the name Micromonospora sp. 458. RNAcentral describes it as "bacterial SSU rRNA". It matches the Rfam family "Bacterial small subunit ribosomal RNA", at positions 66 to 755 of the family's 1533-position model. The record is from RNAcentral. Lineage: Bacteria; Bacillati; Actinomycetota; Actinomycetes; Micromonosporales; Micromonosporaceae.